Molecule: ribosomal RNA, 1372 nt
Filed under: uncultured bacterium
Lineage: Bacteria
Description: bacterial SSU rRNA
Rfam family: Bacterial small subunit ribosomal RNA
Source: RNAcentral
GAUGAACGCUGGCGGCGUGCCUAAUACAUGCAAGUCGAGCGAACAGACGAGGAGCUUGCUCCUUUGACGUUAGCGGCGGACGGGUGAGUAACACGUGGGUAACCUACCUAUAAGACUGGGAUAACUUCGGGAAACCGGAGCUAAUACCGGAUAAUAUUUCGAACCGCAUGGUUCGAUAGUGAAAGAUGGCUUUGCUAUCACUUAUAGAUGGACCUGCGCCGUAUUAGCUAGUUGGUAAGGUAACGGCUUACCAAGGCAACGAUACGUAGCCGACCUGAGAGGGUGAUCGGCCACACUGGAACUGAGACACGGUCCAGACUCCUACGGGAGGCAGCAGUAGGGAAUCUUCCGCAAUGGGCGAAAGCCUGACGGAGCAACGCCGCGUGAGUGAUGAAGGUCUUCGGAUCGUAAAACUCUGUUAUUAGGGAAGAACAAACGUGUAAGUAACUGUGCACGUCUUGACGGUACCAAAUCAGAAAGCCACGGCUAACUACGUGCCAGCAGCCGCGGUAAUACGUAGGUGGCAAGCGUUAUCCGGAAUUAUUGGGCGUAAAGCGCGCGUAGGCGGUUUUUUAAGUCUGAUGUGAAAGCCCACGGCUCAACCGUGGAGGGUCAUUGGAAACUGGAAAACUUGAGUGCAGAAGAGGAAAGUGGAAUUCCAUGUGUAGCGGUGAAAUGCGCAGAGAUAUGGAGGAACACCAGUGGCGAAGGCGACUUUCUGGUCUGUAACUGACGCUGAUGUGCGAAAGCGUGGGGAUCAAACAGGAUUAGACACCCUGGUAGUCCACGCCGUAAACGAUGAGUGCUAAGUAUUAGGGGGUUUCCGCCCCUUAGUGCUGCAGCUAACGCAUUAAGCACUCCGCCUGGGGAGUACGACCGCAAGGUUGAAACUCAAAGGAAUUGACGGGGACCCGCACAAGCGGUGGAGCAUGUGGUUUAAUUCGAAGCAACGCGAAGAACCUUACCAAAUCUUGACAUCCUUUGACCCUUCUAGAGAUAGAAGUUUCCCCUUCGGGGGACAAAGUGACAGGUGGUGCAUGGUUGUCGUCAGCUCGUGUCGUGAGAUGUUGGGUUAAGUCCCGCAACGAGCGCAACCCUUAAGCUUAGUUGCCAUCAUUAAGUUGGGCACUCUAAGUUGACUGCCGGUGACAAACCGGAGGAAGGUGGGGAUGACGUCAAAUCAUCAUGCCCCUUAUGAUUUGGGCUACACACGUGCUACAAUGGACAAUACAAAGGGCAGCGAAACCGCGAGGUCAAGCAAAUCCCAUAAAGUUGUUCUCAGUUCGGAUUGUAGUCUGCAACUCGACUACAUGAAGCUGGAAUCGCUAGUAAUCGUAGAUCAGCAUGCUACGGUGAAUACGUUCCCGGGUCU